Molecule: long non-coding RNA, 1729 nt
Filed under: Androctonus crassicauda
Lineage: Eukaryota; Metazoa; Arthropoda; Arachnida; Scorpiones; Buthidae
Source: RNAcentral
UUUACAUCAGUUUUUAGUCAUAUUUAUCAAUUAUGUUUUACCCUAAAAAAUUUCAUGGCUAAGCUCCGUAAGUGUGAAAUGCUUUAAUGGAGUGAAAAUGGCGGCAAAGAAUUUUAAAAAAAGUUCGAUUGAUUGCUCCAUCAAAAAUUUUAAUUGCUGUAAGAUUUGUAAUGAAUUUAUGCGGUUUGUCUAUUGUAUCCUUAUGCACAGUAAGUUUGAAUACUUUAAAUCCUUAACACCCAUUAACCGAUUCAAUGUAAUCAUUAUUUUAAACUUAAUGGACGUUUACAAAUAUCGCGUCAGAAAUUCCUUUAAAGGAAUUCGCCGUAUCAAAACAUCCAAUAAAAUUCGUCGAUAGAUCGUUUUGUUCUUUUUAAAGUUAAAUUUAUGUUUCUUAUCCCCGAUUAAUUGAUCCUAUCGAGAAGAAAAAAUAUCUUCCAGAUAAAAAUUCUAAACGAGAAACGUGUCUCUCGUAUAGAUAUGUUAAAUAUAUACAGUUUAACAUCUUCAUUCCGUCCGAUUCCGCGGAAAUCGGAUAAUAUGUUAAAGAAUUUCGUAAUUUAACUUUAUUAAACAUUUCUUUGUCCGCAGAUUUUAUCACGAAAGAAUUUUCUAGCUAUAAAGAAACUUUUAGAAUUGUUCCCGAAUGCCAUCGAUCUUUGAUUAAAAAAAAAUUUUUUUUAAAGUUCAGUUGAAUGGCGAUUAUCCUAUAUUGUACGGAAUUCUAAAUCUGGAGGAUAGUUUAAAUAAAAAUCUAUAAUCACUAGAGAAUACAAUUUGUCAGCUGAUUGCCGUUCUAAAUCUAAUUUCGUUAGAGAAUUGGCUGGACAUUCAGCAAGAGAAAAAGAGUUGUUUUGGCAUCUUCGACAUUUGCAGGAGACUGGGACAAGAAAAAGUUUGGAAGAAAGCAAUAGGUUCUACUCUUGACAUUCGGGAACGGGUGAAGAUCCACUAAUUCUAACCGUUCACUACCCUAUUGUGUCCUGGGCAGAAAGACUCAAGAAUCGAUCUAAAAUAUCCUCCAAUAGAUAUCGAAGUUCAUUCUUCUUUUGUCGACUGGAUUCUUUUCAUCAAAAUCAUAUAAAAUUUCACUGUUAUUGCUCUCGGAAAAGAUUUCAUUAAAAACGGAAACGUCCAACAAAGUCGGUACGAGGAAAGAAUGUAUUCCGAACUCCAAACAAACAUCUACGUUAAUAGCCAAUUAUCGAUUUAACCUUCAGCCAUAUUUUCUCCGAAAUAAUGACUCACUUUUAAUGAACAGAUGUCCUAACAUCUCCAAUCUUUUUUCUUUUUAAAGAAAAGAUUAAGUGGACCGGCUCCAUGGCGUAAUUAUUAUUAAUUUAUAUGAAAAUUAACCAUUUUGAUGCGGUUACCGAAUAUACUCUGUGUACCGAAUAUCUCUGUGAGCCGCUUAAACUGAUAUAAAUUAAAAUUUACCGCAAUAAAAAUUUAAAUAUUCAGAACCAUAUCGAUCAGAGAAGAUAUCGAUUAUAAACGGAAAAAGCUCUCAAAAAAAAAAAAAUUCUCCAAACUUUAUUCCGGUUGACGUUUUCGAUGACACUGCAAUGUUGAAAUUCUAAGUAAACAGCUUAAAAAAUGUUUUCUGCUAGCUAAUUAAAGUUUUAAAAGCACGUUUUAGAGCGAUUGCUCUGGUCAAGAUCAUCUUGAGAAAAGUAGUAGUAGAAUUUUUUUCUUCUUCUUUUUUUUUUAUCAAUACGUUGUCCUCUAU